RNAcentral lists this ribosomal RNA (531 nucleotides) under uncultured archaeon. RNAcentral's name for it is "bacterial SSU rRNA". It matches the Rfam family "Archaeal small subunit ribosomal RNA", at positions 325 to 856 of the family's 1478-position model. The record is from RNAcentral.
ACGGGGUGCAGCAGGCGCGAAAACUUUACAAUGCCGGCAACGGCGAUAAGGGGACCUCGAGUGCCAGGUUACAAAUCUGGCUGUCGUGAUGCCUAAAAAGCAUUGCAUAGCAAGGGCCGGGCAAGACCGGUGCCAGCCGCCGCGGUAACACCGGCGGCUCGAGUGGUAACCGUUAUUAUUGGGUCUAAAGGGUCUGUAGCCGGCCGGAUAAGUCUCUUGGGAAAUCCAGCAGCUCAACUGUUGGGCUUCCAGGAGAUACUGUUCGGCUCGAGGCCGGGAGAGGUGAGAGGUACUUCAGGGGUAGGGGUGAAAUCUUGUAAUCCUUGAAGGACCACCAGUGGCGAAGGCGUCUCACCAGAACGGACCUGACGGCAAGGGACGAAAGCUAGGGGCACGAACCGGAUUAGAUACCCGGGUAGUCCUAGCCGUAAACGAUACUCGCUAGGUGUCGGCCACGGUGCGACCGUUGUCGGUGCCGUAGGGAAGCCGUGAAGCGAGCCACCUGGGAAGUACGGCCGCAAGGCUGAAACU